Molecule: ribosomal RNA, 841 nt
Filed under: Triticum aestivum (bread wheat)
Lineage: Eukaryota; Viridiplantae; Streptophyta; Magnoliopsida; Poales; Poaceae
Description: partial small subunit ribosomal RNA
Source: RNAcentral
CGUCGCUACAGCGCGCCGCGGAGGGGAUAAGGUCGCCACGAGCGCGCCUCGGGAUGCCUCCCCUCCCACUCGCUCCUCCCCCUCUCCACCUCGCUCGCUCCGCCUGCCUCACCUCGCCGAGUGCAGUCAGGGCCUCGCCGCCGUAGGAGCCGCGGCCACCGUCCUCCGCAGGCCUCGAGACCCUGCUCAGAAGACGCGUCGCCGUCCGCUACUUCCUCUACGCCCAGGAACGCGAGCUGGGGAGCCCUCCGUCGCUGGAUCGCUUUUGACUUCCUCCCCGACACCGACGAACUCCGUCGCCCCGAUUCGCCGCCCUCCUGCGCUCCUAAGCCCAUCGCCGGCCACCGUGUGCCUCACUACUACGAGACCGACCCUGCUGCUGCCCAGUUCGACUACGGAGUUGACGACCCCUCUCUCUUGCCAGAGCAACCAGAUGCUGGAGCCCUGGAGCCAGACGCCACCGUCGACGACGACUCCUACUACACCGGAGGUGCCUACUACUACGUGCAGCCCGCUGACGACGACCAGGAGUAGUUAGGAGGAUCCCAGGCAGGAGGCCUGCGCCUCUUUCGAUCUGUAUCCCAGUUUGUGCUAUCCUUCUUAAGGCAAAUUUGUUUAACUUAUGUAUGUACUCAGAUAUUGUUGCUUCCGCUGACUCGUCUAUGAUCGAGCACUUGUAUUCGAGCCCUCGAGGGCCCUGGCUUGUAUUAUGAUGCUUGUAUGGCUUAUUUUAUUUGUAGAGUUGUGUUGUGAUAUCUUUCCAUGAGUCCCUGAUCUUGAUCGUACACAUUUGCGUGCAUGAUUAGUGUAUGAUUGAAUCGGGGGCGUCACAAGUAUGAAC